The sequence is a transfer RNA, 107 nucleotides long. It matches the Rfam family "tRNA". From Rfam's summary of the family: Transfer RNA (tRNA) molecules are approximately 80 nucleotides in length. Their secondary structure includes four short double-helical elements and three loops (D, anti-codon, and T loops). The record is from Rfam.
GUCUCUGUGGCUCAGUCGGUAGAGCGUUGGUCUCAUAUUACAUCAAUAUGACCGUACCUCUAGGUAGGGAUAUCCAAAGGUCGCAAGUUCGAGCCUUGCCAGGGACA